CCUGCCGGACCUGACUGCUAUCGGAUUGAUACUAAGCCAUGCGAGUCUUUGUAGUAAUACAAGGCAGACGGCUCAGUAACACGUAGUCAACCUACCCUAUGGACAAGAACAAUCUCGGGAAACUGGGCAUAAUUCUUGAUAGAUCAUAAUGCCUGGAAUGGUUUAUGGUUAAAAUGAUUCGUCGCCAUAGGAUGGGACUGCGGCCUAUCAGCUUGUUGGUGAGGUAAUGGCCCACCAAGGCGAUUACAGGUACGGGCUCUGAGAGGAGAAGCCCGGAGAUGGGUACUGAGACACGGACCCAGGCCCUAUGGGGCGCAGCAGGCGAGAAAACUUUGCAAUGUGCGAAAGCACGACAAGGUUAAUCCGAGUGAUUUCUGCUAAAGAAAUCUUUUGCCAGUCAUAAAACCACUGGUGAAUAAGGGGUGGGCAAGUUCUGGUGUCAGCCGCCGCGGUAAAACCAGCACCUCAAGUGGUCAGGAUGAUUAUUGGGCCUAAAGCAUCCGUAGCCGGCUCUGUAAGUUUUCGGUUAAAUCCAUGUGCUCAACGCAUGGGCUGCCGAAAAUACUGCAUAGCUAGGGAGUGGGAGAGGUAGACGGUACUCAGUAGGUAGGGGUAAAAUCCUUUGAUCUCUCGAUGACCACCUGUGGCGAAGGCGGUCUACCAGAACACGUCCGACGGUGAGGGAUGAAAGCUGGGGGAGCAAACCGGAUUAGAUACCCGGGUAGUCCCAGCUGUAAACUAUGCAAACUCAGUGAUGCAUUGGCUUGUGGCCAAUGCAGUGCUGCAGGGAAGCCGUUAAGUUUGCCGCCUGAGAAGUACGUACGCAAGUAUGAAACUUAAAGGAAUUGGCGGGGGAGCACCACAAGGGGUGAAGCCUGCGGUUCAAU
This 887-nucleotide ribosomal RNA is filed under the name uncultured marine group I thaumarchaeote. Its description in RNAcentral is "SSU rRNA". It matches the Rfam family "Archaeal small subunit ribosomal RNA", at positions 13 to 906 of the family's 1478-position model. Lineage: Archaea; Thermoproteati; Nitrososphaerota. The record is from RNAcentral.